Molecule: ribosomal RNA, 467 nt
Filed under: uncultured bacterium
Lineage: Bacteria
Description: partial 16S ribosomal RNA
Rfam family: Bacterial small subunit ribosomal RNA
Source: RNAcentral
ACGAACGCUGGCGGCGUGCUUAACACAUGCAAGUCGAACGGAAAGGCCCUGCUUUUGUGGGGUUCUCGAGUGGCGAACGGGGGAGUAACACGUGAGUAACCUGCCCUUGACUUUGGGGUAACUUCAGGAAACUGGGGCUAAUACCGGAUAGGAGCUCCUGCAGCAUGGUGGGGGUUGGAAAGUUCCGGCGGUUGGGGAUGGACUCGCGGCUUAUCAGCUUGUUGGUGGGGUAGUGGCUUACAAAGGCUUUGACGGGUAGCCGGCCUGAGAGGGUGACCGGGCACAUGGGUACUGAGAUACGGACCAGACUCCUACGGGAGGCAGUAGUGGGGAAUAUUGCACAGUGGGCGGAAGCCUGAUGCAGAAACGCCGCGUGCGGGAUGACGGCCUUCGGGGUGUAAACCGCUUUCGCCUGUGACGAAGCGUGAGUGACGGUAAUGGGUAAAGAAGCACCGGCUAACUACGUG